AAGAAGGGCAUCCCUCCAGUAUCAGAGUGAUGUCUGCAGAAAGUUGAGUCUCCAGUGGAUUUCCCUGUGCCAGUGGAACAACAUAAAGCCACGCAAAGCCCUUUCACGGCAAGGACAUGGAGCACGGGAGCGGAGGACGGGGCACUACAACCCCCAUAGUACGCGGAGAGGGGCAGCGGGAGGCCGCAAGGGAGGAGAGGCGCAAGGCCUUCUGGGAGAUGUAGUCCUGCGGCGGCCCUGCCCGGCUACAGCGCCGGGGGCAGCUCCCCAGGCACCUGUGUGUGCCGUGGGAGGCAGGGCGACCGCACUGUGCACCGCUCCCUGCGGGGUGUUGCAGUGCAGCUGCCUGCUGGCAGCCACACCAGGAACCGGUGGGAGAAGCAUGGGAGAAAUACCCAGAUGACCCAAAGGACUCAGUGGUCGGGAUUUGUCCAGCUGGAAGUUCAGGAGCCAUUGCUCAGAGCAGUGCAUUGUUGAGGCUCAUUGUUUCUGAAGUUGCUGCCUCUUUUUCUCUAAAGGAAUCUUUCUGUAUCCUACUGAAAGGAUUCCAUAAUAAAAUUAUUGAACUGCAAACUGGAGAGGUCUGCCUUUUGCUGGGACCUCCAAGUCUGCAGCAAUGUCAGUGCUGAGGGAGAAGGGAUGAGGUGGAUAUCCUGAGUGUGAGUUUGUGUUGGGUGAGGUGGAGAUCUGUGGCUUUUCAUUGCCGCAGGAGAGAAGAGCUCGGAUGGCACCUCAACAAGGAACUGUGAACUUUGGUAGAUGCUGUCUCGGGAGAAGCCUUGUGAAGGCAAACACAGUUAACACUGCUGACUUAUAAGAGAUGAAAAGGAAAAGGCCUCUGCUGCUUCAGCUUGUCUCUGUCUUCCUUCAUCAAGUGAUUAGUGAGGACUUUGUCUCCAUAGUUCUUAAAUGUCCUUAUAAUCAGCCUGGGCAACGUUUCUCCACAUAUACAGGAGAGUGUGAUGGAUUUCUCUGACUCUUCAUGAAGCUGAAGUACUAAGCUCUGGGACAGCACUUAGGUGUAUUCCAGAUGUCAUUCAAGUAGCUGUGGGAGGUUUAUCAGCUCUUGAGGAGACUUUCCCUUGUGUGCAUGCUUGCACCACUGAAGGCCGGCACUGUGCUGGAGGAAAAUGGAGCUCUCUGAUCUCCUGGCAUUUGCCUCUGCAGAAGUGAACAGUACAACAGUCACCCUAGCUUUACUGGCGGUAUUCGUGGUUCUUCUAUACUGGUAAGUGGUAAUGGCAAUAGGAGCCUGCUUAAGUUCUCUCAACAUCUACAGAGACUUCCUAUUUUUAAGAUGAAACUAGAAGAUAGCUGGCUGGAAGAGGUGCAAAGGGCAUGCUGGUUUGGAUGUGGAGGUUGAAAUACAAACUUACGAAACUCACAUUGCUUUUUACAGAGUUCUGUCCUUGCAAUACUUUCUUUUGAGUGCUUUAUCAACAAAUGCUCACUGAAAUUGUUGUAAAAAUUGAGGACUUAACUACUGUUGGUUUCUUAUUAAUUUCUGUAGGCUGCAGGAGCACUGAUGCUGGUCACUAAAGAAAUUGAGUUCUUUUCACAGGGUCUUGUUGGACCCUUCUUUGCAUUGUGCUGCACACUUGACCUUUGCCAGGUUUCUUGGUUUAAAUUUACAGACACUUUAUCUGUUGCUUGAAUUUUUUCUCUUUUUCUUUCCACACUGACUAAUGGACACAAAACAGAAUAACAGCAAUUCUAAUGUGAAGUGCAGUAGGCAUAACAAUGAGCUAUGCUGUGAUGAAGGGAAAAAGAAGUACCUACUACAACCCAGUCCAGAUAAUCUGUUUUGGAAAUUAAAGUAGCUGAUCUGGGAAUGCUGUUCUGACACUUUUCACUUGAGUACCUCAAACCUUGAGUUUUAGUCAUGUUUUUUUCUCAUUUCUAUGUGAAUUCAAGAAAUAAACAGUGAGAGAAGAAGAACUUCAGAAGAAAAUACAAAACUGAUCUAGAAAAGAAUAGCGAUGACAUCAUGAUUUCAGCACAAUUGUUCUAGUAGUGUAAAUGAUGGAUCACUUCUGUACACAUUUCUUGAUUCUUUAAUCCUGUCAAUCUUUGUUCUGCUUCCUAUCAAGGGAGAGUCUAGAGAGACUGAGAAGAGCCAAAUCAAUUCCCUCUUUGAUGUGCAUUGCCAUCUCAGGUUGGUGAGCAAGCCAGUUUUCUUCCUAAGAUCUGCACAAAUCAUCACAAAGAUCCAAGUCCCACUGCCUCUGAAUUUUAGUUGGAAAAACAAUGGAAAAACAAUUCUGGUAAAUCCAUACUGUUUAGCUGCUGACCCAUGGAUCUACAUAAACUCAAAUAGGGGAAGAGAGGCCAGAGGUAGAGCCAUGGUUCAGAAAUGCAGCACCAGGUCUGGUGAACUCUGGCAGCUUGUGAGAUGGCUAGAAGAGCUGGUGCUUCCAUGCUGUAAAUGUCAAGGUGUGCUGAGGGCUGUGAAGGCACGGAAGUGCUCUGUACAAAUGUGCUGUGUUCUGAUCCAUGCUUCUCCAGAGCCUUGCUUUGUGGUUCAUUUUAGGAAAGGCUCUUAUAAGAAAGGCCCUCCUAUAGAAAGGAAGGCAUGGAAGCUCUGAGUUGAAUUCUGUUUCAACAUAAAUGAAACAGAUUGCCCUGAUAGAGGUGAUGGAUGCCCCAUCCUUGCAAACGUCCAUGCAAGGUCAGGCUGGAGGGGGCUCCACAGAACCUGAUCUAGCU
Non-coding RNA from Meleagris gallopavo (turkey), 2706 nucleotides. The record is from RefSeq and is a predicted model, not a curated record. Lineage: Eukaryota; Metazoa; Chordata; Aves; Galliformes; Phasianidae.